GUUGUGAGGUUAAGCGACUAAGCGUACACGGUGGAUGCCCUGGCAGUCAGAGGCGAUGAAGGACGUGCUAAUCUGCGAUAAGCGUCGGUAAGGUGAUAUGAACCGUUAUAACCGGCGAUUUCCGAAUGGGGAAACCCAGUGUGAUUCGUCACACUAUCAUUAACUGAAUCCAUAGGUUAAUGAGGCGAACCGGGGGAACUGAAACAUCUAAGUACCCCGAGGAAAAGAAAUCAACCGAGAUUCCCCCAGUAGCGGCGAGCGAACGGGGAGCAGCCCAGAGCCUGAAUCAGUGUGUGUGUUAGUGGAAGCGUCUGGAAAGGCGUGCGAUACAGGGUGACAGCCCCGUACACAAAAAUGCACAUACUGUGAGCUCGAUGAGUAGGGCGGGACACGUGGUAUCCUGUCUGAAUAUGGGGGGACCAUCCUCCAAGGCUAAAUACUCCUGACUGACCGAUAGUGAACCAGUACCGUGAGGGAAAGGCGAAAAGAACCCCGGCGAGGGGAGUGAAAAAGAACCUGAAACCGUGUACGUACAAGCAGUGGGAGCACGCUUAGGCGUGUGACUGCGUACCUUUUGUAUAAUGGGUCAGCGACUUAUAUUCUGUAGCAAGGUUAACCGAAUAGGGGAGCCGAAGGGAAACCGAGUCUUAACUGGGCGUUAAGUUGCAGGGUAUAGACCCGAAACCCGGUGAUCUAGCCAUGGGCAGGUUGAAGGUUGGGUAACACUAACUGGAGGACCGAACCGACUAAUGUUGAAAAAUUAGCGGAUGACUUGUGGCUGGGGGUGAAAGGCCAAUCAAACCGGGAGAUAGCUGGUUCUCCCCGAAAGCUAUUUAGGUAGCGCCUCGUGAAUUCAUCUCCGGGGGUAGAGCACUGUUUCGGCAAGGGGGUCAUCCCGACUUACCAACCCGAUGCAAACUGCGAAUACCGGAGAAUGUUAUUACGGGAGACACACGGCGGGUGCUAACGUCCGUCGUGAAGAGGGAAACAACCCAGACCGCCAGCUAAGGUCCCAAAGUCAUGGUUAAGUGGGAAACGAUGUGGGAAGGCCCAGACAGCCAGGAUGUUGGCUUAGAAGCAGCCAUCAUUUAAAGAAAGCGUAAUAGCUCACUGGUCGAGUCGGCCUGCGCGGAAGAUGUAACGGGGCUAAACCAUGCACCGAAGCUGCGGCAGCGACGCUUAUGCGUUGUUGGGUAGGGGAGCGUUCUGUAAGCCUGUGAAGGUGUGCUGUGAGGUAUGCUGGAGGUAUCAGAAGUGCGAAUGCUGACAUAAGUAACGAUAAAGCGGGUGAAAAGCCCGCUCGCCGGAAGACCAAGGGUUCCUGUCCAACGUUAAUCGGGGCAGGGUGAGUCGACCCCUAAGGCGAGGCCGAAAGGCGUAGUCGAUGGGAAACAGGUUAAUAUUCCUGUACUUGGUGUUACUGCGAAGGGGGGACGGAGAAGGCUAUGUUGGCCGGGCGACGGUUGUCCCGGUUUAAGCGUGUAGGCUGGUUUUCCAGGCAAAUCCGGAAAAUCAAGGCCGAGGCGUGAUGACGAGGCACUACGGUGCUGAAGCAACAAAUGCCCUGCUUCCAGGAAAAGCCUCUAAGCAUCAGGUAACAUCAAAUCGUACCCCAAACCGACACAGGUGGUCAGGUAGAGAAUACCAAGGCGCUUGAGAGAACUCGGGUGAAGGAACUAGGCAAAAUGGUGCCGUAACUUCGGGAGAAGGCACGCUGAUACGUAGGUGAAGCGACUUGCUCGUGGAGCUGAAAUCAGUCGAAGAUACCAGCUGGCUGCAACUGUUUAUUAAAAACACAGCACUGUGCAAACACGAAAGUGGACGUAUACGGUGUGACGCCUGCCCGGUGCCGGAAGGUUAAUUGAUGGGGUUAGCGCAAGCGAAGCUCUUGAUCGAAGCCCCGGUAAACGGCGGCCGUAACUAUAACGGUCCUAAGGUAGCGAAAUUCCUUGUCGGGUAAGUUCCGACCUGCACGAAUGGCGUAAUGAUGGCCAGGCUGUCUCCACCCGAGACUCAGUGAAAUUGAACUCGCUGUGAAGAUGCAGUGUACCCGCGGCAAGACGGAAAGACCCCGUGAACCUUUACUAUAGCUUGACACUGAACAUUGAGCCUUGAUGUGUAGGAUAGGUGGGAGGCUUUGAAGUGUGGACGCCAGUCUGCAUGGAGCCGACCUUGAAAUACCACCCUUUAAUGUUUGAUGUUCUAACGUGGACCCGUGAUCCGGGUUGCGGACAGUGUCUGGUGGGUAGUUUGACUGGGGCGGUCUCCUCCUAAAGAGUAACGGAGGAGCACGAAGGUUGGCUAAUCCUGGUCGGACAUCAGGAGGUUAGUGCAAUGGCAUAAGCCAGCUUGACUGCGAGCGUGACGGCGCGAGCAGGUGCGAAAGCAGGUCAUAGUGAUCCGGUGGUUCUGAAUGGAAGGGCCAUCGCUCAACGGAUAAAAGGUACUCCGGGGAUAACAGGCUGAUACCGCCCAAGAGUUCAUAUCGACGGCGGUGUUUGGCACCUCGAUGUCGGCUCAUCACAUCCUGGGGCUGAAGUAGGUCCCAAGGGUAUGGCUGUUCGCCAUUUAAAGUGGUACGCGAGCUGGGUUUAGAACGUCGUGAGACAGUUCGGUCCCUAUCUGCCGUGGGCGCUGGAGAACUGAGGGGGGCUGCUC
Molecule: ribosomal RNA, 2658 nt
Filed under: Escherichia coli
Lineage: Bacteria; Pseudomonadati; Pseudomonadota; Gammaproteobacteria; Enterobacterales; Enterobacteriaceae
Also listed under: 2 other names
Description: partial 23S ribosomal RNA
Rfam family: Bacterial large subunit ribosomal RNA
Source: RNAcentral